AAGGGCCAACAUCAGCUUUCUUGGAGUUGAGAGCAGGUGCUGUGGCGUCAGGCUCUGGCGCCUCCACUUGCUAACGGGGCGAUGAGGACACUGUACUGCUCCCUCUAAAAAUGGCCUGAUGCCCGCCCACCUCUGAAGGUUGUUGUGAGGAGUAAAUAAGGAGGUGGUUCCCACGUGCCUCCCACAGCACCUAGAACACGGCAAGUGCUCAAGGAGCAGCAAGCUUAACUGGGAAACACCGCGAGCGAGGCCUGGCCCUUACAUCACAGCUGAAGAGCCUCAGGUGAAGCACGGCCUGGGCGAACCAUGACUAGGAAUUUUGGCGGCAAGGAAAAGCCCCCAGGAACACUCAAGAUGACUCCACCACUAACUUGCUGUCCCUUCACCUCGCCAGGCCUCCGUGCCCUCAGAGUCCCAGGGUGGUGGCCAAGGAGGAGUGAAGCAAUUUCACCCAAGGGAUGGAAAGGAAAAACAUCUAAUCUGUCUUCCCUGAAUCUGAUGUCAGAGAGCCUGCUGAGGAAAGAGAGUACCCUGUGGCUGCUACUUGGGAAUUGACAAGCUUUUCCGGCUCCAUCCUGCAGACCCACAAGACCAGCCCAAGUGCCUUGGACCUUCAUGCCCAACCCAAGCCUGGCACCCAAAUCCACAGAAGCAGAAUUGAACUCAUCUUGUGGAAAGCCAGCUCCUUACUCACACUCAGCUUUGUGCACAUCCUGUGCACAUGAUGACCUGGGCUCAUCAUCUCAGAUCUGCAUAUGUCCCUUGAAUCAUUUUCUUGGACACUGCUCUCUAAGUUUUUCAAGGAAAAUAUACCCACAGAUGAAUGGGUAGCCAGAUCGGUGCUGUUGACACCAGACGCCGAGAUGUAGUGCUUGCUGUCAGACCCCGCUCCCACCCCAAACACACAGCACCUGACACAGAGCUGGGCCGCAUGGACACACACCAGCGCUGGUUGAAUCGCCUGCAGCUGACAGAGCAUCUGACCACCUCUGGCACAAAGGGCCCAGCAGGCGAGGCAGGGGGCUGCUUCCACCACCCCAGUCACAGUCCCUGCUCAGGCUCCUGCAGCUCAAGCCAUCAGCAUUAAGUGUCUGGAGGCUGAGAAGUCCAAGUUCAAAGUGCCAGCAAGGGCUGCUUACGCAUCCUCCUGACCUUGACAUGAUGGUUAAAUUCCUCCAGAGUGGGCAAUCCGAGAGAGCACAAACCUGAAGUCACACUGUCUUCUAUGACCUAGCCUUGGAAUUCACACUGUCACUUCUGCCACAUCCUACUGGCGACACAGAUUUAUUGAGCACCUACUAGAUGCCAGGUUUGUGAACUGUGAAGAAAGCAUGGACAAAGAGGAAGUAGUUGAAGAUACACAAGAAAAGGAAUAACAGGGUCUUCAAGGAAGUGAGAAGGAGGGAGACUCAGUACCCAGUCGGCUGUGGUCAACAUGGUGAACAUGGAGACACGAGAAUGGGGGCAAUGGAAGGAGGAGCUGGUGAGAAGCAGGUGGAAGGACUAUCAGGCCAUGCCAUGGACCCAGCUGAGCCUGGAAAUCUCAAAUCUCUG
Molecule: long non-coding RNA, 1554 nt
Organism: Camelus dromedarius (Arabian camel)
Lineage: Eukaryota; Metazoa; Chordata; Mammalia; Artiodactyla; Camelidae
Exons: 7
Source: RefSeq, a predicted model, not a curated record